This 494-nucleotide ribosomal RNA is filed under the name uncultured bacterium. RNAcentral describes it as "partial 16S ribosomal RNA". It matches the Rfam family "Bacterial small subunit ribosomal RNA", at positions 28 to 507 of the family's 1533-position model. The record is from RNAcentral.
GACGAGCGCUGGCGGCGUGCUUAACACAUGCAAGUCGAACGGUGAAGCGCCUUCCUUUUUGGUGGGUGUGGAUGAGUGGCGAACGGGUGAGUAACACGUGAGUAACCUGCCCCCUUCUUCUGGAUAACCGCAUGAAAGUGUGGCUAAUACGGGAUAUUCUGGGUCUGUCGCAUGAUGGGUCUGGGAAAGAUAUUGUUUCGGUGGGGGAUGGGCUCGCGGCCUAUCAGCUUGUUGGUGGGGUGAUGGCCUACCAAGGCGGUGACGGGUAGCCGGCCUGAGAGGGUGGACGGUCACACUGGGACUGAGACACGGCCCAGACUCCUACGGGAGGCAGCAGUGGGGAAUAUUGCACAAUGGGCGCAAGCCUGAUGCAGCGACGCCGCGUGAGGGAUGGAGGCCUUCGGGUUGUGAACCUCUUUCGCCAGUGAAGCAGGCCUGCCUCGUUUGUGGGUGGGUUGACUGUAGCUGGAUAAGAAGCGCCGGCUAACUACGUG